This 253-nucleotide ribosomal RNA is filed under the name uncultured bacterium. Its description in RNAcentral is "partial 16S ribosomal RNA". It matches the Rfam family "Bacterial small subunit ribosomal RNA", at positions 524 to 776 of the family's 1533-position model. The record is from RNAcentral.
UACGUAGGCAGCAAGCGUUGUUCGGAAUUACUGGGCGUAAAGAGUGUGUAGGCGGUGCUCUAAGUUCGGUGUGAAAUUCCCUGGCUUAACUGGGGGCGUGCGGGCGAUACGGGCAGACUGGAGUACUGCAGGGGAGACUGGAAUUCCUGGUGUAGCGGUGGAAUGCGCAGAUAUCAGGAGGAACACCGGUGGCGAAGGCGGGUCUCUGGGCAGUAACUGACGCUGAGGAGCGAAAGCGUGGGGAGCGAACAGG